This 695-nucleotide ribosomal RNA is filed under the name uncultured Bacteroidales bacterium. Its description in RNAcentral is "bacterial SSU rRNA". It matches the Rfam family "Bacterial small subunit ribosomal RNA", at positions 32 to 715 of the family's 1533-position model. The record is from RNAcentral. Lineage: Bacteria; Pseudomonadati; Bacteroidota; Bacteroidia; Bacteroidales.
AACGCUAGCUACAGGCUUAACACAUGCAAGUCGAGGGGCAGCAUUUUAGUUUGCUUGCAAACUGAAGAUGGCGACCGGCGCACGGGUGAGUAACACGUAUCCAACCCGCCGAUAACUCCGGAAUAGCCUUUCGAAAGAAAGAUUAAUACCGGAUGGCAUACGAAUAUCGCAUGAUAUUUUUAUUAAAGAAUUUCGGUUAUCGAUGGGGAUGCGUUCCAUUAGUUUGUUGGCGGGGUAACGGCCCACCAAGACAACGAUGGAUAGGGGUUCUGAGAGGAAGGUCCCCCACAUUGGAACUGAGACACGGUCCAAACUCCUACGGGAGGCAGCAGUGAGGAAUAUUGGUCAAUGGGCGAGAGCCUGAACCAGCCAAGUAGCGUGAAGGAUGAAGGCUCUAUGGGUCGUAAACUUCUUUUAUAUGGGAAUAAAGUUUUCCACGUGUGGAAUUUUGUAUGUACCAUAUGAAUAAGGAUCGGCUAACUCCGUGCCAGCAGCCGCGGUAAUACGGAGGAUCCGAGCGUUAUCCGGAUUUAUUGGGUUUAAAGGGAGCGUAGGUGGAUUGUUAAGUCAGUUGUGAAAGUUUGCGGCUCAACCGUAAAAUUGCAGUUGAAACUGGCAGUCUUGAGUACAGUAGAGGUGGGCGGAAUUCGUGGUGUAGCGGUGAAAUGCUUAGAUAUCACGAAGAACUCCGAUUG